RNAcentral lists this long non-coding RNA (1026 nucleotides) under Sus scrofa (pig). Its description in RNAcentral is "lncRNA (ENSSSCG00035076549.1)". The record is from RNAcentral. Lineage: Eukaryota; Metazoa; Chordata; Mammalia; Artiodactyla; Suidae.
AUGACCUCAUUGCUUAUCCAUCCUAAAUAUAAUAGUUUGUAUCUACCGAGCCCAAACUCCCAGUCCAUCCUGCUCCCUCCCUCUCACCCCUUAGCCACCACAAGCUUUCAUGUCUUUUGUAUUUUAGAGAAUCAGUGGAUUGAAAUCACAACCUCAGAUGGCUACCAUGAGGCUAACCUCAGUUUAAAGGACUUCAGAUUUCCAUACUGAAUAUCUGGGAGGUUCCUAGUCAACAAGAGUCCACUUUCUGGGUGUGGAUGGAAUAAGAACACAGGGUGAUGGAUGGUGUCAAGGAUAUUUCACAACAGCCACUCAAGAGGCUUGUGAACUGACCCAGCCUCUUACUGGAGAUGCCAUUUCUGGACCAGUGUGCUAAUGUUUCCCGGAUCCAGUGACCCUCCUCCUGCACUUGGCUGGUGAGUCAUUGUCAUGUCCGUUCUGCUCUCCUCCCCUUUACCAUGUUCCAUUCAGACACCUCUCUCUGCUCUAGCAGUCUUUCCCCAGCUAGGACUCAAUGCAGUAUUUUAAGUUUCUUCAGUCUUCUGUGUGAUGACAUUACAGAUCUGUUUUUUGCUAUGUUGGUGUGAUUAUACUGGCCCACCUUCCCGAGGGUAAGAAGUGUCUACAGGAGUUUCCGUCGUGGCUCAGCAGUAACAAACCCAACUAGUAUCCGUGAGGAUGUGGGUUUGAUCCCUGGUCUCGUUCAGUGGGUUAAGGAUCUGGUGUUCCUGUGAGCUGUGGUAUAGAUCGCAGACAUGGCUAGGAUCUGGUAUUGCUAUGGUUAUGUUAUAGGCUGGCAGGUGCAGCUCCAAAUCACCCCUAGCCUGGGAACUUACAUAUGCUGCAGGUGUGGCCCUAAAAAGACAAAAAAAUAAGUGACUAGAGGUGGCCAAUAUGCUCAGGACUCCUCAAAGGCCCUCUUCUAGACUCUGGAGAUAUCUGCCACUCCUGAGGCCAAGCUAGAACCCUCACCGACUGGAACCUCAUAAACUUCCUAUUCCCUUAAUAAAAAUGGAACAAACAACA